UAUUUAGAAUCACUGCCGUGGGGCUGGAGAGAUGGCUCAGCCGUUAAAGGCUAGGCUCACAGCCAAAACUAUA
RNAcentral lists this microRNA precursor (73 nucleotides) under Mesocricetus auratus (golden hamster). Its description in RNAcentral is "miRNA (ENSMAUG00000004414.1)". Lineage: Eukaryota; Metazoa; Chordata; Mammalia; Rodentia; Cricetidae. The record is from RNAcentral.